CUCUAAUCAAUUAAUCUGGUUUGAUUCUACAGUUAGAGACGGUGCUUUUGCUACGGUCCGUGUUUACGUUGUUUUUGACGAUAAUAUAAAGUAUAUACAUACAGUGUUUACCUCAGAAAAGUUGUUUGGCCCGCCGGAAAGUGUCUUUUUGACCUGGGCCAGUCACAGACUGUAUGAAAUAUGGCUACGUCUAGCUACGUUUCUAACCGAGCUGCCCCACUAACUGCUUAAAAAUACUUUAAUAAUUCCCAGUGGCUUAGAACCGUUUGGCAUCGCCAGGCUUGCAUUACACUGGGGGAAACCCUGAAAUAAUAGGAAUAAGAAAUAACUUCUGCCCGAGGCCCAGUGGUUGCUGUCGGUUGUCGGCCAGUUUUCCUGUCGGACCGAGGAGCCCCGAGACGGACCGAGGAGGCCGGCGGCGGCGUCUAAAGGCAGACGGGCGAUGACCAGGACAGCUGACCAGUUAGUCUGUGACCGGAGAAGACGGCUGGCGAAAUUCCCAAGUCCACGAAAGAUGCCAGUAGGUGUGGUCAGGUCGUCCUUGUGUCUUCCCAGUACUAUAAGAGCACAACUCACUUGUUCCAUGAUGGGAAGAGAGAAAGUGGAAACAAUGCUCCCCAUCC
Molecule: long non-coding RNA, 623 nt
Organism: Perca fluviatilis (European perch)
Lineage: Eukaryota; Metazoa; Chordata; Actinopteri; Perciformes; Percidae
Exons: 3
Source: RefSeq, a predicted model, not a curated record